GGAGUUUGGACCGUGUCUCAGUUCCAAUGUGGGGGACCUUCCUCUCAGAACCCCUACUGAUCGUCGACUAGGUGGGCCGUUACCCCGCCUACUAUCUAAUCAGACGCAUCCUCAUCCAUCGCCGAUAAAUCUUUACUGUGUUCGAGAUGUCUCAAUCACAGACCAUCAGGUAUUAAUCUUUCUUUCGAAAGGCUAUCCCUGAGCCAUGGGUAGAUUGGAUACGUGUUACGCACCCGUGCGCCGGUCGCCAUCUAUCAAAGCAAGCUUCGAUAAUGCUGCCCCUCGACUUGCAUGUGUUAAGCCUGUAGCUAGCGUUCAUC
Molecule: ribosomal RNA, 320 nt
Filed under: uncultured Bacteroidales bacterium
Lineage: Bacteria; Pseudomonadati; Bacteroidota; Bacteroidia; Bacteroidales
Description: partial 16S ribosomal RNA
Source: RNAcentral